This 107-nucleotide small nuclear RNA is filed under the name Aotus nancymaae (Ma's night monkey). The record is from RNAcentral. Lineage: Eukaryota; Metazoa; Chordata; Mammalia; Primates; Aotidae.
GUGCUCACCUUGGCAGCACAUAUACUAAAAUUGGAAUGAUACAGAGAAGAUUAGCAUGGCCCCUGCACAAGGAUGACAUGCAAAUUCGUGAAGCAUUCCAUAUUUUU